AACGGGUGAGCCUGCGGUUUAAUUGGACUCAACGCCGGGCAGCUCACCGGAUAAGACAGCUGGAUGAUAGCCGGGCUGAAGACUCUGCUUGACUAGCUGAGAGGAGGUGCAUGGCCGUCGUCAGUUCGUACUGUGAAGCAUCCUGUUAAGUCAGGCAACGAGCGAGACCCACGCCAACAGUUGCCAGCAUGUCCUCCGGGAUGAUGGGGACACUGUUGGGACCGCCUCUGCUAAAGAGGAGGAAGGAAUGGGCAACGGUAGGUCAGCAUGCCCCGAAUUAUCCGGGCUACACGCGGGCUACAAUGGUCAGGACAAUGGGUAUCGACACCGAGAGGUGGAGGCAAUCUCCUAAACCUGUCCUUAGUUCGGAUUGUGGGCUGCAACUCGCCCACAUGAAGCUGGAAUCUGUAGUAAUCGUGUCUCAAAAUGGCACGGUGAAUAUGUCCCUGCUCCUU
RNAcentral lists this ribosomal RNA (455 nucleotides) under uncultured Methanolinea sp. Its description in RNAcentral is "bacterial SSU rRNA". It matches the Rfam family "Archaeal small subunit ribosomal RNA", at positions 883 to 1338 of the family's 1478-position model. The record is from RNAcentral. Lineage: Archaea; Methanobacteriati; Methanobacteriota; Methanomicrobia; Methanomicrobiales; Methanoregulaceae.